This is an RNA transcript of Enhydra lutris kenyoni (northern sea otter), 1018 nucleotides long. It is a transcript of the gene named neurexin-3-beta pseudogene, with no coding region annotated. The record is from RefSeq and is a predicted model, not a curated record. The transcript is spliced from 2 exons. Lineage: Eukaryota; Metazoa; Chordata; Mammalia; Carnivora; Mustelidae.
GGCAAUUCUAUUUGUCCAAGAGCAUUCUUACACAACUUUCUUUUGUAAAUUUUUCUUUCAUGCCAAAAAACAUGCGGGCAAUUUGUUGAUGAGGUGAAUUAGUUGUCCCUCUUCUUGUAGAAGACCCUUUAGCUACCCCUCCUAUUGCUACUCGUGCACCUUCCAUUACACUCCCCCCUACCUUCCGCCCCCUCCUCACCAUUAUUGAGACCACCAAAGAUUCCCUGUCCAUGACCUCUGAGGCGGGGUUACCUUGCUUGUCGGACCAAGGCAGCGAUGGUUGUGAUGAUGAUGGCUUGGUGAUAUCUGGGUAUGGCUCAGGGGAAACCUUUGACUCUAACCUGCCCCCUACUGAUGAUGAAGAUUUUUACACCACCUUCUCCUUGGUAACAGAUAAGAGUCUUUCCACUUCAAUCUUCGAAGGUGGCUACAAAGCAUAUGCGCCCAAGUGGGAAUCCAAGGACUUUAGACCUAACAAAGUCUCCGAAACUAGUAGGACUACUACCACAUCUUUGUCCCCUGAGCUGAUCCGCUUCACAGCUUCCUCCUCGUCUGGGAUGGUGCCCAAAUUGCCAGCUGGCAAAAUGAAUAACCGUGAUCUCAAACCCCAGCCUGAUAUAGUCUUGCCUCCGUUGCCCACUGCCUAUGAGCUAGACAGCACCAAACUGAAGAGCCCACUAAUUACUUCCCCCAUGUUCCGUAAUGUGCCCACAGCAAACCCCACAGAGCCGGGAGUCAGACGGGUUCCGGGGGCCUCAGAGGUGAUCCGGGAGUCGAGCAGUACAACAGGGAUGGUCGUCGGCAUUGUGGCUGCUGCUGCCCUCUGCAUCUUGAUCCUCCUGUAUGCCAUGUACAAGUACAGGAACAGGGACGAGGGGUCCUAUCAAGUGGACGAGACGCGGAACUACAUCAGCAACUCGGCCCAGAGCAACGGCACGCUCAUCAAGGAGAAGCAGCAGAGCUCGAAGAGCGGCCACAAGAAACAGAAAAACAAGGACAAGGAGUAUUACGUGUAAAA